CCUACGGGUGGCAGCAGGCGAGAAAACUUUGCAAUGUGCGAAAGCACGACAAGGUUAAUCCGAGUGGUUUCUGCUAAAGAAACCUUUUGUCAGUCCUAGAAACACUGGUGAAUAAGGGGUGGGCAAGUUCUUGUGUCAGCCGCCGCGGUAAAACCAGCACCUCAAGUGGUCAGGAUGAUUAUUGGGCCUAAAGCAUCCGUAGCCGGCUAUGUAAGUUUUCGGUUAAAUCUGUGCGCUUAACGUACAGGCUGCCGGGAAUACUGCACAGCUAGGAAGUGGGAGAGGUAGACGGUACUCGGUAGGAAGGGGUAAAAUCCUUUGAUCUAUUGAUGACCACCUGUGGCGAAGGCGGUCUACCAGAACACGUUCGACGGUGAGGGAUGAAAGCUGGGGGAGCAAACCGGAUUAGAUACCCGCGUAGUC
RNAcentral lists this ribosomal RNA (423 nucleotides) under uncultured archaeon. RNAcentral's name for it is "partial 16S ribosomal RNA". It matches the Rfam family "Archaeal small subunit ribosomal RNA", at positions 322 to 746 of the family's 1478-position model. The record is from RNAcentral.